This 1472-nucleotide long non-coding RNA is filed under the name Lathyrus oleraceus (garden pea). RNAcentral's name for it is "Pisum sativum (pea) long non-coding RNA (PSAT_LNC010161)". The record is from RNAcentral. Lineage: Eukaryota; Viridiplantae; Streptophyta; Magnoliopsida; Fabales; Fabaceae.
UCCCAUUAAACCAUAAAUCAUUCAAUUUCCACACAUUUAAUUCCCAUUUUUCAUACAAAAUUCCAAUCAAUUACAAUUCAUCAUUCAUCUUACUAGUUAUUAAGACCAAUUUUGUUUACCAUUCGUUUACAAUCAAGUUCAAAUUCUAAUCCAUAUUUUGAAAUUUUCGGUUACAAUACAUUACCAUUCACAAACUACAAGGGAAAACCUAUAGUACUAUACUAUUCCAUCCAAUUACAUUUCAACAACCAAAUGCCACGAUCUUCUCUCCGUCAAUGAGCAUUGCUAUAACGCAUCCCAUUAAUCCAAUGCGCAACCCAAGUCAGGCUUCAUUAAGCAAACAUUAACCUGCACCGGAAUAAACAAUUACCAACUGAAUCAACCAUAAGUCCAAAUUCAUAUAUAGAAAAUAGAAAAAAAGAAAGAAGGAUAGAUGAACAAAUGAUAGAGGCGAGAAUCUACAUGAAAAGAAACUACCCUGCAAUAGCUGCUACACACGCUCCAAUCACGGAAGUUUCCGCCAAGAAACCAAUUUCCGACAUUGUCAUCACUGCUAUGCAGACGGAGGCUCAACCUGUUGUCAUUAAAUUUCAACUCACCGAACAUUGAUACUGUAAGGAAAAAUCAAGGGCGAGUGGAAAUAGUGUAUUGUCGGUAGCUAAUAAUGCAUCUCACCCGGAAAAGAGUUUGCAGGGGCAGAACUUCACGAUUCCAGUUCAGCCAUGAACUUCUCUUUCAAGCCAUGAGUAACACCCGAUAUUGUUGGCAGCAACAGACUUCAGGUGAGGAGUUGAGGUGGUGUUAUCCGAGACCUUCCUGCAGUAUCAGUUUGCCUUACUUAAUAGAAUAAAUUCCCAACAGGAUUUCACAAGAGAAAGCUCACAGAAUUUACUAAGCAGAAUAGAACAGAAAAUGAAAUACCAAAAUAGCUGACAUAAUGCAAUCUUUCACACUAACUGAUCUCAGCUAAUCAGUUUAUUUUUCACCAAGUAAAUUCAUUUCACAAACAUUAAUUUCAUCUUAAUUUGAAUUUCUAACAGAAUAUAACAUCUAACUAACUGUGCAUUUAAAUCUGAAUUUCAAUUUAAUUUCUAACAAACUGAAAUUACAUUUGAUAUGAGUUUCAUUUGGAAUUUCCAACCAACUUGAUAAAAUCUCUAACUGAAUAUGAAUUACAAAGAAUUUCACCUGAAUUUGUGAAGAAAUUUCUAACAGAUUCUGUUAUAAAAACUGACCUCAUUGUGACUCCAAGGGCUUCACUCCAAUCUGCUUCACUCCAUUCUUCUUCACUCUAACCUUCUUCUGCCAACACCUUCUUCUACCAAUCUUCAAAUUCUUCACACUCCAAUCUUCUUCACUCUAUUUCAUCUGCUUCAUUCUGCAAAUUCUUGACCUUGUUACAUUUGCCGUGAAUUUUAGCUGGUGCCGGUUCAGGGUAUAGUUGUUUGGGCCUACGACCCAAAUGAUUUUUU